GAUAAACGCUGGCGGCGUGCCUAAUACAUGCAAGUCGAGCGAACGGACGAGAAGCUUGCUUCUCUGAUGUUAGCGGCGGACGGGUGAGUAACACGUGGAUAACCUACCUAUAAGACUGGGAUAACUUCGGGAAACCGGAGCUAAUACCGGAUAAUAUUUUGAGCCGCAUGGUUCAAAAGUGAAAGACGGUCUUGCUGUCACUUAUAGAUGGAUCCGCGCUGCAUUAGCUAGUUGGUAAGGUAACGGCUUACCAAGGCAACGAUGCAUAGCCGACCUGAGAGGGUGAUCGGCCACACUGGAACUGAGACACGGUCCAGACUCCUACGGGAGGCAGCAGUAGGGAAUCUUCCGCAAUGGGCGAAAGCCUGACGGAGCAACGCCGCGUGAGUGAUGAAGGUCUUCGGAUCGUAAAACUCUGUUAUUAGGGAAGAACAUAUGUGUAAGUAACUGUGCACAUCUUGACGGUACCUAAUCAGAAAGCCACGGCUAACUACGUGCCAGCAGCCGCGGUAAUACGUAGGUGGCAAGCGUUAUCCGGAAUUAUUGGGCGUAAAGCGCGCGUAGGCGGUUUUUUAAGUCUGAUGUGAAAGCCCACGGCUCAACCGUGGAGGGUCAUUGGAAACUGGAAAACUUGAGUGCAGAAGAGGAAAGUGGAAUUCCAUGUGUAGCGGUGAAAUGCGCAGAGAUAUGGAGGAACACCAGUGGCGAAGGCGACUUUCUGGUCUGUAACUGACGCUGAUGUGCGAAAGCGUGGGGAUCAAACAGGAUUAGAUACCCUGGUAGUCCACGCCGUAAACGAUGAGUGCUAAGUGUUAGGGGGUUUCCGCCCCUUAGUGCUGCAGCUAACGCAUUAAGCACUCCGCCUGGGGAGUACGACCGCAAGGUUGAAACUCAAAGGAAUUGACGGGGACCCGCACAAGCGGUGGAGCAUGUGGUUUAAUUCGAAGCAACGCGAAGAACCUUACCAAAUCUUGACAUCCUUUGACAACUCUAGAGAUAGAGCCUUCCCCUUCGGGGGACAAAGUGACAGGUGGUGCAUGGUUGUCGUCAGCUCGUGUCGUGAGAUGUUGGGUUAAGUCCCGCAACGAGCGCAACCCUUAAGCUUAGUUGCCAUCAUUAAGUUGGGCACUCUAAGUUGACUGCCGGUGACAAACCGGAGGAAGGUGGGGAUGACGUCAAAUCAUCAUGCCCCUUAUGAUUUGGGCUACACACGUGCUACAAUGGACAAUACAAAGGGCAGCGAAACCGCGAGGUCAAGCAAAUCCCAUAAAGUUGUUCUCAGUUCGGAUUGUAGUCUGCAACCCGACUACAUGAAGCUGGAAUCGCUAGUAAUCGUAGAUCAGCAUGCUACGGUGAAUACGUUCCCGGGUCU
RNAcentral lists this ribosomal RNA (1372 nucleotides) under uncultured bacterium. Its description in RNAcentral is "bacterial SSU rRNA". It matches the Rfam family "Bacterial small subunit ribosomal RNA", at positions 28 to 1381 of the family's 1533-position model. The record is from RNAcentral.